GUGCCUAAUACAUGCAAGUCGAGCGAACAGAUAAGGAGCUUGCUCCUUUGACGUUAGCGGCGGACGGGUGAGUAACACGUGGGUAACCUACCUAUAAGACUGGGAUAACUUCGGGAAACCGGAGCUAAUACCGGAUAACAUUUGGAACCGCAUGGUUCUAAAGUGAAAGAUGGUUUUGCUAUCACUUAUAGAUGGACCCGCGCCGUAUUAGCUAGUUGGUAAGGUAACGGCUUACCAAGGCGACGAUACGUAGCCGACCUGAGAGGGUGAUCGGCCACACUGGAACUGAGACACGGUCCAGACUCCUACGGGAGGCAGCAGUAGGGAAUCUUCCGCAAUGGGCGAAAGCCUGACGGAGCAACGCCGCGUGAGUGAUGAAGGGUUUCGGCUCGUAAAACUCUGUUAUUAGGGAAGAACAAAUGUGUAAGUAACUGUGCACAUCUUGACGGUACCUAAUCAGAAAGCCACGGCUAACUACGUGCCAGCAGCCGCGGUAAUACGUAGGUGGCAAGCGUUAUCCGGAAUUAUUGGGCGUAAAGCGCGCGUAGGCGGUUUCUUAAGUCUGAUGUGAAAGCCCACGGCUCAACCGUGGAGGGUCAUUGGAAACUGGGAAACUUGAGUGCAGAAGAGGAAAGUGGAAUUCCAUGUGUAGCGGUGAAAUGCGCAGAGAUAUGGAGGAACACCAGUGGCGAAGGCGACUUUCUGGUCUGUAACUGACGCUGAUGUGCGAAAGCGUGGGGAUCAAACAGGAUUAGAUACCCUGGUAGUCCACGCCGUAAACGAUGAGUGCUAAGUGUUAGGGGGUUUCCGCCCCUUAGUGCUGCAGCUAACGCAUUAAGCACUCCGCCUGGGGAGUACGACCGCAAGGUUGAAACUCAAAGGAAUUGACGGGGACCCGCACAAGCGGUGGAGCAUGUGGUUUAAUUCGAAGCAACGCGAAGAACCUUACCAAAUCUUGACAUCCUUUGAAAACUCUAGAGAUAGAGCCUUCCCCUUCGGGGGACAAAGUGACAGGUGGUGCAUGGUUGUCGUCAGCUCGUGUCGUGAGAUGUUGGGUUAAGUCCCGCAACGAGCGCAACCCUUAAGCUUAGUUGCCAUCAUUAAGUUGGGCACUCUAGGUUGACUGCCGGUGACAAACCGGAGGAAGGUGGGGAUGACGUCAAAUCAUCAUGCCCCUUAUGAUUUGGGCUACACACGUGCUACAAUGGACAAUACAAAGGGCAGCUAAACCGCGAGGUCAUGCAAAUCCCAUAAAGUUGUUCUCAGUUCGGAUUGUAGUCUGCAACUCGACUACAUGAAGCUGGAAUCGCUAGUAAUCGUAGAUCAGCAUGCUACGGUGAAUACGUUCCCGGGUCUUGUACACACCGCCCGUCACACCACGAGAGUUUGUAACACCCGAAGCCGGUGGAGUAACCAUUUAUGGAGCUAGCCGUCGAA
This 1437-nucleotide ribosomal RNA is filed under the name Staphylococcus xylosus. Its description in RNAcentral is "bacterial SSU rRNA". It matches the Rfam family "Bacterial small subunit ribosomal RNA". Lineage: Bacteria; Bacillati; Bacillota; Bacilli; Caryophanales; Staphylococcaceae. The record is from RNAcentral.